GUUGUACACUUCCUUCUGAAAAGAGGAGCCGAUGUGACUCUGUGCAACCAUAGCAACCAGACACCACUGCAUGUGAGUCUUCCAGUCCUCCAGGAGGUGCUGUUAUCAGCCAUGUUCAGGGCUCUGCCCCACCAGACCCAGCUCCUCCAGGCUGCCUGGCAGGGAGACCUCCACUCCCUGCAGCACCUCCUGGUAAGUCCGCCUCCCCCCAAAACUCCUUUACAACGUCUCACCAUAGACCACACACACACACGCGCGCGCGCGCGCGCACAAGCACACACCAAGCGAGCACACAGUCACUGCCACCGCCACUGAUAUCACUCCCAACGCCCUUUACAUUGUGUAACUGGAAAUGUGAUACACAACAUCAGGUGCUUGUCUAACAACGGGGGUAGGCUAGAGUUUAGAUUAGCACAAAGGACAGCAUUGUGUGGAUGCAGCCGAAGCAGCUAUGAGCAUUCCAUCUGUAAUCAUCUCCAGGACAUUUCUCACUUGACCUAUCUUUGUUCGUAAUGUGUAACUCUCAGGCACCAGUGCUGAGCCUAUAUCUCAAUGUCUGUGUGUGUUGCAGGCCCAGACUGACCUAGUGGACGUGAACACUCAGAACCGCGACGGGCUGACCCCUCUAAUGCUGGCUGUGAGGGACGUCGACCUGUUUGAGGAGCUGGACGUCCGGUUGCCAUGGGAAUACAGACCUGUGGAGGUGGUCAGGGAACUGCUGGCUCUCUCAGCUGACCUGGGGGUGUGUGAUGUCAACGGCUGUUCUGCUCUUCACUAUGCUGCUCAGAUAGAGAGCCCCCUGAAGGACGAACUCAUCUACAUGAUGGUUGAGUCCCUCAGACAGCCAGCGCCCACGCCCCUGGACCUGCAGUGCUUCCACCCUGAUGAGCUGAGAGUAAACUCCCCCAGCCCCUCUCCCUCUCUGACCGAUGAGCUGAGAGCAACAAACUCCCCAAGCUCCUCUCCCUAUCUGACCCAAAAUGUCCUCAUUCAGACUGCUGUCAGCACAGAGGAUUUGCUGGAGUCUCCAGAGUGCGUUCUUUUAUCCGACCAUCAUAAAGCCAUCAAUCAAGAUAAGGGCCUCUCCCUCUCCUUCCAGAGCGCCAUGGAUACUCUGAUGGACAUGAGGCAAGCCUACCAAGAUCUGGGGAAGGGUAGCAGGUGGGCUCGCACACACGCUCCAUGUUAAUUAGAACGGCUAUAAAUUAAUACAACAAUACAGUAACCACAGAGCAAAUUGACAAUCAGGAACACACCCAAACACCAACACCUGUUCAUACAGACACACACAAACACUUAUGCACACAUCCUUGCAAUUAACAAGCACUCUCACACACAUGAACAAACAAAUCCACCGUAUGCUAGUCCCUCCUCCUUGUGUGUACUUCAACCCCCCAAUCCCCCUUCCACACCUCCCUCUCACAUAAAUACAGAAUAAGAAGCGUCCAGUUACAGUCAGGCCAGCAGUCAUCAUGUCAAGGGCAUGCCAAUCUCCCCAAACAGAGAACAGAGGGAGACCGAGAGAAACAGAGGGAGGGAGGGAGAAACCGAGGGAGAAACCGAGGGAGAGUCUACUUUGCUUUCUGAAACGGAUCAUUGUCUGUAGGGCUCUACUGCUGAAAGAGGUCCAAAGGGAUCCUGAGAGAAUAAACCCCUUUGAAAAGUUCUCACUUUACAGCAUCAGCCCCUGGCCAGCGUCCUUCUGCUGUGCCCUCUGUCCUGCGUCCCCACAGAACAGAGAAAGUGCAAUUGAAAGGGACAGUGUUCAUUAUUAGGACAUUAUACAAGACCCUACGUCUCAGCUCCAGGUUUUGUGAAUUAUAGAUGAUUUUAAUGAACCAAAAUAUUUUACCAAGAUUACCUGUGAGCAUUGUGAGGUGUAAAGGAUUUAUUCUCAAAUCUAAUUUGUUCUCUCUUCAGUCAAGGUUCGUCUCUACCCAGUCUGUGGCUCAGAGCCAUACACUUAGACAAACUGGAUCCUACACCGGGGCUGUUGAAGUCCACAGGAAGCUCCUCCUGCCUGCCUGUUCCCCCCAGGCUCAGAUGUGAAGCUGUGGCCCCCAGCCCGGUGACCUCUCACCCAGCCCAGCUGAGCCAAUCUGCCCCCGGUCUAUUGGAGCCUCUCCUGGACUCCAGCUCUCUGGUCCAGGCCCGAGUCCACAUCCAGAACAGUUAGUAAUAUAAUAAUCCUAUGUCUGCUCAAGGCUUAGAGGACAGUAUAAGGUCAGCAUGUUGUUGAUUAAUAUGUUUAGGUAAAGGUCAUGCUCAUGAAUGUGUUUAGAGAAGUACUCUUUGUUGAGGAAAUUAGUUACAUCAUUUUAUGUUUGUAAAGCUUGGCACGUUCUUGUCUUGCAGGGCUUGGGUGUGGAGAAACGGAGAAAAAAAGCAGUGGUCGAAAGGUAGGUCAACUCAAAUAAAUCAUGUUUUAUUCGUACAUCACAUUUUCAUACAGCUUCCUUAGUUUGUAAAACCACCUGUAAUCUGCUAUUUAUCCACCUUUGCCUUUUCCAAUCAUCUCUGUCCAGGGCUCCUUCCCUGCCCUGCUUCCAGGCCCCAUCAGGACCCCCAAGCUGUUAGCCCCUCUGGAGGGGAGGCAUAGAAACGGAGGAGUGCUGCCCGGCCUGAAGCACCCUUCUCCCCUAAAGC
Molecule: long non-coding RNA, 2646 nt
Filed under: Salmo trutta (river trout)
Lineage: Eukaryota; Metazoa; Chordata; Actinopteri; Salmoniformes; Salmonidae
Description: lncRNA (ENSSTUG00000009674.1)
Source: RNAcentral